GAGUUUGAUCCUGGCUCAGGAUGAACGCUAGCGGCAGGCUUAACACAUGCAAGUCGAGGGGUAUAGGCUUUCGGGCCUAGAGACCGGCGCACGGGUGCGUAACGCGUAUGCAACCUACCUUUCACAGAGGGAUAGCCCAGAGAAAUUUGGAUUAAUACCUCAUAGUAUAAUGGUGUGGCAUCACAUUAUUAUUAAAGUUCCAACGGUGAAAGAUGGGCAUGCGUCCCAUUAGCUAGAUGGUAAGGUAACGGCUUACCAUGGCUACGAUGGGUAGGGGUCCUGAGAGGGAGAUCCCCCACACUGGUACUGAGACACGGACCAGACUCCUACGGGAGGCAGCAGUGAGGAAUAUUGGACAAUGGGCGCAAGCCUGAUCCAGCCAUGCCGCGUGCAGGAUGAAGCAUCUAUGGUGUGUAAACUGCUUUUGUACGAGAAGAAACAGCUCUUCGUGAAGAGCCUUGACGGUAUCGUAAGAAUAAGGAUCGGCUAACUCCGUGCCAGCAGCCGCGGUAAUACGGAGGAUCCAAGCGUUAUCCGGAAUCAUUGGGUUUAAAGGGUCCGUAGGCGGCCUUAUAAGUCAGCGGUGAAAUCUCCCGGCUCAACCGGGAAAUGGCCAUUGAUACUGUAGGGCUUGAUUACU
Molecule: ribosomal RNA, 640 nt
Filed under: uncultured bacterium
Lineage: Bacteria
Description: bacterial SSU rRNA
Rfam family: Bacterial small subunit ribosomal RNA
Source: RNAcentral